RNAcentral lists this ribosomal RNA (854 nucleotides) under Calathus laureticola. RNAcentral's name for it is "eukaryotic LSU rRNA". It matches the Rfam family "Eukaryotic large subunit ribosomal RNA", at positions 406 to 944 of the family's 3401-position model. Lineage: Eukaryota; Metazoa; Arthropoda; Insecta; Coleoptera; Carabidae. The record is from RNAcentral.
UGUUCAGGGGUAAACCUGUGGUUCCCGAAAGUUCGAACGGGGAGAUUCAAUUGCCUCGCCGGUUAUGACCAUUUAACAGUGAUAUGUUUAUAUAUAUAUUAGAGACAUUAUAUGGCGGUUGCGGGUUUAUUCUCGUAGCUGUUUCUGUGUAGUGCUCCACUGUUUUAUGAUAUAUAGUUUAUAGCCGGAGGCGUGCACUUCUCCCCUUGUAGGACGUCGUGACCCAUUGGAUUAUGUUGUCUAAGGCUUAUAAUGGAGACCGUGGCAUUAAGUUUCGGCUUUAAUGACCCGGACUUAUGAUGUCCCGACAUCUAUCCGAUGGUAUAUAUAUGAUGAUAGAUCGCUAUAAAUGCGUAUGAGCGUUCAGAUCCAUAACAAAUUCUUUAUAUGAGAUAAUAGUGGAAAUCGGAUUUAACGCCGAUUCUACACAUAUGGUAUUGAUAGUUAUGGUAUUCUCGAACCGUUUUUUAUCAUCAGUCAACGGCGUUUAUGUUUUGGGUAAUUACAGGACCCGUCUUGAAACACGGACCAAGGAGUCUAGCAUGUGCGCAAGUCAUUGGGACUUUGUGAAACCUAAAGGCGUAAUGAAAGUGAAAUAUUUGUGAAUUUUCGUAAUUCACUGAAUUUAAGGGAAGAUGGGUAACGUUAUUUAUGUUACCUCGCAUUCCCGGGGCGUCGCGUACUUAUUGCAAGUUGCGGCGCACCAAGAGCGUACACGCUGGGACCCGAAAGAUGGUGAACUAUGCCUGGUCAGGAUGAAGUCAGGGGAAACCCUGAUGGAGGUCCGUAGCGAUUCUGACGUGCAAAUCGAUCGUAUGAACUGGGUAUAGGGGCGAAAGACUAAUCGAACCAUC